UCAAGCUACAAAGAGCACAAGGGGAAUGCCUUGGCACCGAGAGCCGAAGAAGGACGUGACUAACUGCGAUAAGCUGCGGGGAGCCGUAAGUAGGCUUUGAUCCGCAGAUUUCCGAAUGGAGCAAUCCGGCAAGAGGAAAGUCUUGUCAUCAUAUACUGAAUACAUAGGUAUAUGAGGGGAACCGCCUGAACUGAAACAUCUAAGUAGGGCGAGGAAGAGAAAUCAACUGAGAUUCCGUAAGUAGUGGCGAGCGAACGCGGAAGAGGCCAAACCGAGAGUAGUAAUACUUUCGGGGUUCGGACAGAAUACGGUAUUGUAAAGGUUUAGUGGAAUGGAAUGGGAAGUCCAACCGAAGAAGGUGAGAGUCCUGUACACGAAAAGCCUGAACAGCCAUCUGUAUCCAGAGUACCGCCGGACACGUGAAACCCGGUGGGAAUAUGGGGGGACCAUCCUCCAAGCCUAAAUACUACUCGGUGACCGAUAGUGAAGAAGUACUGUGAAGGAAAGGUGAAAAGUACCCCUGACGGGGAGUGAAAAAGAACCUGAAACCUUGUGUUUACAAGCACCGAAAGCUCAUCAAAGAGCGAUCGGGUACCUUUUGUAGAAUGGUCCGGCGAGUGAAUGUAACCGGCGAGGUUAAGCACUUAAGGUGUGAAGCCGCAGCGAGAGCAAGUCUGAAUAGGGCGUAUGAAGUCGGUUGUAUUCGACCCGAAACCGGGUGACCUACCCAUGGUCAGGUUGAAGUAAAGGUAAAACUUUAUGGAGGACCGAACCGACUCCCGUUGAAAUGGUAGCGGAUGAACUGUGGGUAGCGGAGAAAUUCCAAUCGAACCCGGAGAUAGCUGGUUCUCUCCGAAAUAGCUUUAGGGCUAGCCUUGAAAUAGAUUACCGGAGGUAAAGCACUGAAUUGGCUAGGGGCCGAGAGGUUACUGAACCUUAUCAAACUAAGAAUGCCGGAUAAUCGUUUUUCAGGAGUCAGACAGUGGGAGAUAAGUUUCAUUGUCAAAAGGGAAACAGCCCAGACCCACAGCUAAGGUCCCCAAGUAUAGUUAAGUGGAAAAGGAUGUGGAAUUGCACAGACAACCAGGAUGUUGGCUUAGAAGCAGCCACUCAUUAAAAGAGUGCGUAAUAGCUCACUGGUCGAGUGACUCUGCGCCGAAAAUUUAACGGGGCUAAACUAUACACCGAAGCUUGGGAUACAUCUAAUGUAUGGUAGGAGAGCGUUCUGUAUGGGGUGAAGUCGUAGCGAAAGCGGCGGUGGACUGUACAGAAGUGAGAAUGCCGGAAUAAGUAGCGAGAAUUAAGUGAGAAUCUUAAUGGCCGAAAGUCUAAGGUUUUUGGAGGAAGGUUCGUCCGCUCCAAGUAAGUCGGGAGCUAAGGUCAGGCCGAAAGGCGUAGCCGAUGCACAUACGGUUGAUAUUCCGUAACCAUCUGUAAUUUAAGCAAAGGGACACUUCAAAAGGGUGUGACCCGGGCGUUGGUUGACCCGGGCGUAAGGGACCGAAAUUAGAGUAGGGAAGCACACUUGGCUGAAGGCGAGAAAAGCUUUGCGUAUAGAAGCAGAUGCCCGUACCGCAAACCGACACAGGUGGACAGGAAGAGAAUUCUAAGGCCAGCGGGAGAAGGGUAGUUAAGGAACUCGGCAAAUUGACUCCGUAACUUCGGAAUAAGGAGUGCUCGAAAGAGCCGCAGAGAAUAGGCCCAGGCGACUGUUUAGCAAAAACACAGGUCUCUGCCAAAUCGAAAGAUGAAGUAUAGGGGCUGACACCUGCCCGGUGCCGGAAGGUUAAGAGGAGGAGUGAGAGCUCCGAAUUGAAGCCCCGGUAAACGGCGGCCGUAACUAUAACGGUCCUAAGGUAGCGAAAUUCCUUGUCGGGUAA
RNAcentral lists this ribosomal RNA (1880 nucleotides) under human gut metagenome. Its description in RNAcentral is "bacterial LSU rRNA". It matches the Rfam family "Bacterial large subunit ribosomal RNA", at positions 3 to 1979 of the family's 2925-position model. The record is from RNAcentral.